Populus nigra (black poplar) is the source of this 740-nucleotide long non-coding RNA. RefSeq lists it as uncharacterized. The transcript has 3 exons. Lineage: Eukaryota; Viridiplantae; Streptophyta; Magnoliopsida; Malpighiales; Salicaceae. The record is from RefSeq and is a predicted model, not a curated record.
CAAAUCAAUUUCAUUCCGGUGUCUUCUACAACUUCUCCUUCCCUCCCUCCUCCCUGUGCUUGCUUGCUGUUCUUCUAUUCUUCUUCUCUCCUCUUCAUUGGCAAAAUCUCAAACAAAACUCUCAAAUAAUAAUUCAACAAGAACAAAAUCACGAGGAGCACACCUCCAGCAACUCAAUCACUAGCCUUUCGUGUUAUGCGAUUAUGUCAACCUUCAUUCCUCGUCGACACCGCUCUCCUUCUUGACCCCUCCGAUCUCAUCGUCGGUGAAGACAUCUUCGAAGACCCUGUUUUCUCCACUCACCUCCCUCUACUCAUCAAAUCCCACCUCUCCGACUCCUCUGAUCUUAGUUACCGCUCUCGAUUCCUCCUCCAUUCUUCCUUCGAUUCCUUCGGUCUCUCUGGCCUCCCCGUCCUCCCUCAGUCCUUCGGGUCCCACUCCUCCCCCCUCUCUCUAAAAUUUCUCCUUUUCUCUUGCUAAAACUAUCCUUUUUUAUUUUUUUGGGCGUAUGGCUAUUUAUUUGGGAGAGAUGUGUUGUAGUUACAUUAGCAUUAAUAAAAGUUAUAAUUUUGAAGUUAGAGAUGAUAUAAUUAAGGUUGGUUUGUACUGCAUUGUAUAGUGAUGGUAAUGGUGAAAGGAAGUAUCUUCCGCAGUUUUUCAAGUUUAUUGUUGCUAAUUCGCUUUCACGUAGGACUAAGGUCCGCGUUGUCAAGGUAAUGUUCAGCUUUUUUCUACUGUAA